UCUCCCUUUCCUAGUCGCAAUAGGUCUUGGGGGUGCCAACUAUGGUCUAAUUUAAUUGGGUUCAAAUCUAAUUUCUUCCAACUUAAUUAAUGAGGAAAAAAUAGCUCUUGGCUGCCCAUAUUGCUUGCAAUUGAUUUGGUCCAAUCCUCAUCUCAUAAGGAUUCAAGUCCAAAGAGGAUUUUGGGUUUAUCAUGUGCUAUCAUGGUUUUCUAAAUCC
Molecule: long non-coding RNA, 217 nt
Filed under: Elaeis guineensis (African oil palm)
Lineage: Eukaryota; Viridiplantae; Streptophyta; Magnoliopsida; Arecales; Arecaceae
Description: long non-coding RNA (EGUI_LNC067845)
Source: RNAcentral